Molecule: ribosomal RNA, 452 nt
Filed under: uncultured bacterium
Lineage: Bacteria
Description: bacterial SSU rRNA
Rfam family: Bacterial small subunit ribosomal RNA
Source: RNAcentral
AUUGAACGCUGGCGGCAGGCCUAAUACAUGCAAGUCGAACGGUAACAUAAGAAAGCUUGCUUUCUGAUGACGAGUGGCGGACGGGUGAGUAAGGUUCGGGAAACUGCCUGAUAGAGGGGGACAACAGUUGGAAACGACUGCUAAUACCGCAUAUAGCCGAGAGGUGAAAGGAGCAAUCCGCUAUCAGAUGUGCCCAAAUGGGAUUAGCUAGUAGGUGAGGUAAAGGCUCACCUAGGCGACGAUCUCUAGCUGGUCUGAGAGGAUGAUCAGCCACAUUGGGACUGAGACACGGCCCAGACUCCUACGGGAGGCAGCAGUAGGGAAUAUUGCACAAUGGAGGAAACUCUGAUGCAGCCAUGCCGCGUGUGUGAAGAAGGCCUUCGGGUUGUAAAGCACUUUCAGAGGGGAGGAGAAUGACGUUACCCUCAGAAGAAGCACCGGCUAACUCCGUG